GUAACAUGAAGACUGAAUUUUGACAACAUGGCAAUCAAUGGAAUAAGAAAAAAGAAAAGAAUUGCAUUAGGCUCAGAGAGGUUAAGCAAUCUACCCAAGAUCACACAGCAAGGCAGUAAAAGGCCAGAACCCAGGAUUCUUGGCUUCCCAAGAGCACCUCCCAUCCUGGCCCCCCAUCAGUGCCUCCCUAUCAGGGCUGAUGACCUGGUGCCGCCAGCACAGGUGGGUGGGAGGCCGUCAAGGUCCCUCCUGGUGGGUGGGAAAGAACAGAGCUCACGCUGACCAUCCUCCCCUGCCCUGCCCAGGCUUGGGUGUAGAAGACCCUGUGGGUGAAGUCUCUGUCCAUGUUGAGCUGUUCACUCAUCCAGGAACUGGGGAACACAAGGUCACAGUGAAAGUGGUGGCUGCCAAUGACCUCAAGUGGCAGACUUCUGGCAUCUUCCGGCCGUUCAUCGAGGUCAACAUCAUUGGGCCCCAGCUCAGCGACAAGAAACGCAAGUUUGCGACCAAAUCCAAGAACAAUAGCUGGGCUCCCAAGUACAAUGAGAGCUUCCAGUUCACGCUGAGCGCCGACGCGGGUCCCGAGUGCUAUGAGCUGC
RNAcentral lists this long non-coding RNA (599 nucleotides) under Homo sapiens (human). RNAcentral describes it as "non-protein coding lnc-NXNL1-6:1". Lineage: Eukaryota; Metazoa; Chordata; Mammalia; Primates; Hominidae. The record is from RNAcentral.